CAAAGGUGAGCCAGUACAGGAUGGACCCGCGUCUGAUUAGCUAGUUGGUAAGGUAACGGCUUACCAAGGCGACGAUCAGUAGCCGACCUGAGAGGGUGAUCGGCCACAUUGGAACUGAGACACGGUCCAAACUCCUACGGGAGGCAGCAGUGGGGAAUAUUGCACAAUGGGCGAAAGCCUGAUGCAGCAACGCCGCGUGAGUGAUGAAGGCCUUCGGGUCGUAAAACUCUGUCCUCAAGGAAGAUAAUGACGGUACUUGAGGAGGAAGCCCCGGCUAACUACGUGCCAGCAGCCGCGGUAAUACGUAGGGGGCUAGCGUUAUCCGGAUUUACUGGGCGUAAAGGGUGCGUAGGCGGUCUUUCAAGUCAGGAGUGAAAGGCUACGGCUCAACCGUAGUAAGCUCUUGAAACUGGGAGACUUGAGUGCAGGAGAGGAGAGUGGAAUUCCUAGUGUAGCGGUGAAAUGCGUAGAUAUUAGGAGGAACACCAGUUGCGAAGGCGGCUCUCUGGACUGUAACUGACGCUGAGGCACGAAAGCGUGGGGAGCAAACAGGAUUAGAUACCCUGGUAGUCCACGCUGUAAACGAUGAGUACUAGGUGUCGGGGGUUACCCCCUUCGGUGCCGC
RNAcentral lists this ribosomal RNA (625 nucleotides) under uncultured bacterium. RNAcentral describes it as "bacterial SSU rRNA". It matches the Rfam family "Bacterial small subunit ribosomal RNA", at positions 202 to 849 of the family's 1533-position model. The record is from RNAcentral.